UCGAGGUCGAAGUGGAACACUCUCAAGUCUCAUCCUCGGCCCUCGGGGAAAUUUGUGCCAGUGCCAUUGUUGAAUGUUGAUAUACGAAGAUGGAAUGGAAUUUUCUUCGACCGAGAGUGGUCUUAUAUCGGGAUGCGUAGUUUACACAUGAACUUUUGUCCAUGAAGAAGCAACAAAAUAAAAUAUGCCACGAGAACAAAAAAAAAAUUGUUGUUUUUUUUGUCUUUAUUUUCGUUCAAAAAUCAAGGGUCAUGGUUGGUGAGCUCAAUACAAGUCAUUAAUGGUGAUGACCAGGUAAGUUAUUAUUGAAUCAGGGAACAGUAGACAAUAGUACAAAUACAAUGCACAACAACUUCACCAUCUGACAUUAAUGAAAUGCAUUGCUCCAUUCGUGCAGUACAACAGUGACUGCCCACCCUUAGCGAGUCUUCUCCUCAACAGACAAUCUCUCUCUCUCUCUCUGGAUCUCGAAAAUAAAUGUGUUUUUUUUUUAUCAAUAACACAUUUCAGAAUAUGUUUAUGUAUAUCAGUAUAUGAAAAAAGCUUGUAUUUAUUGAGGCUUCAACAUGGAUUGCGAGAGAAAAUCUAAUAGUUGGUCGCAGGCUUUUCUCCUACGUGUCUGAACGGCAGUUAGUCAUUGGAAUGAGACUGGAAUACUUUUUCUUCGGCGUAAAUACACUUCUAUGCAGUCCAUCUUCAUCCUCUCUCUCUCUCUCUCUCUGGGUUUUGACUAAGUAAAAAUUUGGUGAGCAGUGAAAACUCUAUUGGAGUGUCUUGGAGUAGAACUUAACCUCUUCAUCUUGAAACAUAGGACGUUGCUUGGGGUGGGAGACUUGCUCUGAGAUCGAUAUUUUCCAUGAAGCUUUGAGGAGACCAGUUCAUUUCAGGAAGAGCAAAUCGAAAAAUCAUGACAAGCCAUGUCGUCAGAAGUUUCUUCUGUUUGCUUUGUUAUCCAGGCGUCAAUAGCUCAUUUCAGGCAGAGUUGAACCAGAUAUAAUGAUCUCAUGGCGUCAUUUGUUUUAUUUCCUUUUUUGUUUAUCUCUAGUGCUUUUCCUAAGCCGCAUUCCAGGUUACUUUUUUUUCUUCUCCUGUAACGGAGCUUCGACC
Non-coding RNA from Nelumbo nucifera (sacred lotus), 1107 nucleotides. Lineage: Eukaryota; Viridiplantae; Streptophyta; Magnoliopsida; Proteales; Nelumbonaceae. The record is from RefSeq and is a predicted model, not a curated record.